Molecule: ribosomal RNA, 649 nt
Filed under: uncultured bacterium
Lineage: Bacteria
Description: bacterial SSU rRNA
Rfam family: Bacterial small subunit ribosomal RNA
Source: RNAcentral
UGGUAGUNCACGCCGUAAACGAUGAGUGCUAGGUGUUAGGCCCUUUCCGGGGCUUAGUGCCGGAGCUAACGCAAUAAGCACUCCGCCUGGGGAGUACGACCGCAAGGUUGAAACUCAAAGGAAUUGACGGGGGCCCGCACAAGCGGUGGAGCAUGUGGUUUAAUUCGAAGCAACGCGAAGAACCUUACCAGGUCUUGACAUCCCGAUGCUAUUCUUAGAGAUAGGAAGUUACUUCGGUACAUCGGAGACAGGUGGUGCAUGGUUGUCGUCAGCUCGUGUCGUGAGAUGUUGGGUUAAGUCCCGCAACGAGCGCAACCCUUAUUGUUAGUUGCCAUCAUUAAGUUGGGCACUCUAGCGAGACUGCCGGUAAUAAACCGGAGGAAGGUGGGGAUGACGUCAAAUCAUCAUGCCCCUUAUGACCUGGGCUACACACGUGCUACAAUGGUCGGUACAACGAGUUGCGAGCCGGUGACGGCAAGCUAAUCUCUGAAAGCCGAUCUCAGUUCGGAUUGGAGGCUGCAACUCGCCUCCAUGAAGUCGGAAUCGCUAGUAAUCGCGGAUCAGCACGCCGCGGUGAAUACGUUCCCGGGCCUUGUACACACCGCCCGUCACACCACGAGAGUUUGUANCACCCGAAGUCGGUGAGGUA